Molecule: ribosomal RNA, 465 nt
Filed under: Vreelandella stevensii
Lineage: Bacteria; Pseudomonadati; Pseudomonadota; Gammaproteobacteria; Oceanospirillales; Halomonadaceae
Description: partial 16S ribosomal RNA
Rfam family: Bacterial small subunit ribosomal RNA
Source: RNAcentral
CCUACGGGCGGCAGCAGUGGGGAAUAUUGGACAAUGGGGGGAACCCUGAUCCAGCCAUGCCGCGUGUGUGAAGAAGGCCCUCGGGUUGUAAAGCACUUUCAGUGAGGAAGAACGCCUGGUGGUUAAUACCCAUCAGGAAAGACAUCACUCACAGAAGAAGCACCUGCUAACUCCGUGCCAGCAGCCGCGGUAAUACGGAGGGUGCGAGCGUUAAUCGGAAUUACUGGGCGUAAAGCGCGCGUAGGUGGCUUGAUAAGCCGGUUGUGAAAGCCCCGGGCUCAACCUGGGAACGGCAUCCGGAACUGUCAAGCUAGAGUGCAGGAGAGGAAGGUAGAAUUCCCGGUGUAGCGGUGAAAUGCGUAGAGAUCGGGAGGAAUACCAGUGGCGAAGGCGGCCUUCUGGACUGACACUGACACUGAGGUGCGAAAGCGUGGGUAGCAAACAGGAUUAGAUACCCUUGUAGUC